GACGAACGCUGGCGGCGUGCUUAACACAUGCAAGUCGAGCGGUAAGGCCCUUUCGGGGGUACACGAGCGGCGAACGGGUGAGUAACACGUGGGUGACCUGCCCUCAGCUCUGGGAUAAGCCUGGGAAACUGGGUCUAAUACCGGAUAUGACUCCAUGACGCAUGUUGUGGGGUGGAAAGCCUUGUGCGGCUGAGGAUGGGCCCGCGGCCUAUCAGCUUGUUGGGGGUGAUGGCCUACCAAGGCGACGACGGGUAGCCGGCCUGAGAGGGCGACCGGCCACACUGGGACUGAGACACGGCCAGACUCCUACGGGAGGCAGCAGUGGGGAAUCUUGCGCAAUGGGCGAAAGCCUGACGCAGCGACGCCGCGUGAGGGA
RNAcentral lists this ribosomal RNA (376 nucleotides) under uncultured bacterium. RNAcentral describes it as "bacterial SSU rRNA". It matches the Rfam family "Bacterial small subunit ribosomal RNA", at positions 28 to 408 of the family's 1533-position model. The record is from RNAcentral.